UCUAACCCACAAAAGUUCUGCAGUGCCAACACAUAUGGUAUCCAAAGAACUGAAGAGGACAACCACACACUCAAUAUCCAACAACUCGCUAUUAAAAGCACACCCUAAAUGCACCCUAACCCAGCAAUUUUGUGUCGGCUAAAUUUAAUGUAUAGAGAGCUCUACUUAGAUACCUUUGUGUUGAGUUUUAUGCUAUUGUUCCCGAUAAUUCAAACAAGCCGCCCAGAACUCAAAUUCAAGUCAAAUGGACCAAGCCUAAUCCGGGGUGGGUGAAACUUAAUACUGAUGGGGCUACUGGAGGAACCCUCGGUAAGGCUGGUGGGGGUGGGGUGCUUCGCUGCAAUAGAGGGAAUUGGAUUGCUGGUUUUUCUAGGAAGCUUGGUGCAGUUUCCAGUACUAUGGCGGAGCUUUGGGCUCUUAAAGAUGGACCCUGAUCAACUUGAUGCCUAACUGCACUGUGACCCAUAUUUUCCAGGAAGCCAAUAGGUGUGCAGAUAUUAUGGCUAAAAUGGGAGCUGAGUUAGUUUCUGACUUCCAAAUUUUGUAUGAACCACCGCCUGUGGUGAAAAAUGCGCUAGCUUUUGAUAAAGCUGAGCUAUUUUGUAAUAGACUGGUUGUGUAAUGCUAUUUCCCUUCUGUUGUUUACCAAAAAAAAAAAAGAAAGUGAACUGUGGAGUCUGGACCAUUCCAUGUUUAGAUUUGAACCUUUGAUUUAGCUAUUGUAUUUGUAUUGGUUUUUGUGAUUAUCCAUCGUGUUUUUGUAACUA
Molecule: long non-coding RNA, 767 nt
Organism: Quercus lobata
Lineage: Eukaryota; Viridiplantae; Streptophyta; Magnoliopsida; Fagales; Fagaceae
Exons: 2
Source: RefSeq, a predicted model, not a curated record